RNAcentral lists this ribosomal RNA (3109 nucleotides) under Salmonella enterica subsp. enterica serovar Anatum. RNAcentral's name for it is "23S ribosomal RNA". It matches the Rfam family "Bacterial large subunit ribosomal RNA". The record is from RNAcentral. Lineage: Bacteria; Pseudomonadati; Pseudomonadota; Gammaproteobacteria; Enterobacterales; Enterobacteriaceae.
GGGUUGUGAGGUUAAGCGACUAAGCGUACACGGUGGAUGCCCUGGCAGUCAGAGGCGAUGAAGGGCGUGCUAAUCUGCGAUAAGCGCCGGUAAGGUGAUAUGAACCGUUAUAACCGGCGAUACCCGAAUGGGGAAACCCAGUGUGAUUCGUCACACUAUCAUUAACUGAAUCCAUAGGUUAAUGAGGCGAACCGGGGGAACUGAAACAUCUAAGUACCCCGAGGAAAAGAAAUCAACCGAGAUUCCCCCAGUAGCGGCGAGCGAACGGGGAGGAGCCCAGAGCCUGAAUCAGCAUGUGUGUUAGUGGAAGCGUCUGGAAAGGCGCGCGAUACAGGGUGACAGCCCCGUACACAAAAGCGCAUGUGCUGUGAGCUCGAUGAGUAGGGCGGGACACGUGGUAUCCUGUCUGAAUAUGGGGGGACCAUCCUCCAAGGCUAAAUACUCCUGACUGACCGAUAGUGAACCAGUACCGUGAGGGAAAGGCGAAAAGAACCCCGGCGAGGGGAGUGAAAAAGAACCUGAAACCGUGUACGUACAAGCAGUGGGAGCCCCACCACUAAGCCAGUGGUGAACUCCACAUACGCAUCCUUUGCUGAGGAUACGGUUAACGGAGCGAAAGCGACGUUCAACCGCAAAAGAAGCAGAGGGGGCUUAGUGGUGGGGUGACUGCGUACCUUUUGUAUAAUGGGUCAGCGACUUAUAUUCUGUAGCAAGGUUAACCGAAUAGGGGAGCCGGAGGGAAACCGAGUCUUAAUUGGGCGUUAAGUUGCAGGGUAUAGACCCGAAACCCGGUGAUCUAGCCAUGGGCAGGUUGAAGGUUGGGUAACACUAACUGGAGGACCGAACCGACUAAUGUUGAAAAAUUAGCGGAUGACCUGUGGCUGGGGGUGAAAGGCCAAUCAAACCGGGAGAUAGCUGGUUCUCCCCGAAAGCUAUUUAGGUAGCGCCUCGUGAAUUCAUCUCCGGGGGUAGAGCACUGUUUCGGCUAGGGGGCCAUCCCGGCUUACCAACCCGAUGCAAACUGCGAAUACCGGAGAAUGUUAUCACGGGAGACACACGGCGGGUGCUAACGUCCGUCGUGAAGAGGGAAACAACCCAGACCGCCAGCUAAGGUCCCAAAGUCAUGGUUAAGUGGGAAACGAUGUGGGAAGGCCCAGACAGCCAGGAUGUUGGCUUAGAAGCAGCCAUCAUUUAAAGAAAGCGUAAUAGCUCACUGGUCGAGUCGGCCUGCGCGGAAGAUGUAACGGGGCUAAACCAUGCACCGAAGCUGCGGCAGCGAACGUAUCACUUAAAGCGAUUCAGCGGGUUACGAUUGACGGAGCGAAGCGACGUCAAAGCGUAUACAAAGUCGAGUCGGUUUAAGGAUACGUUCGUUGGGUAGGGGAGCGUUCUGUAAGCCUGCGAAGGUGGCCUGUGAGGGUUGCUGGAGGUAUCAGAAGUGCGAAUGCUGACAUAAGUAACGAUAAAGCGGGUGAAAAGCCCGCUCGCCGGAAGACCAAGGGUUCCUGUCCAACGUUAAUCGGGGCAGGGUGAGUCGACCCCUAAGGCGAGGCCGAAAGGCGUAGUCGAUGGGAAACGGGUUAAUAUUCCCGUACUUGGUGUUACUGCGAAGGGGGGACGGAGAAGGCUAUGUUGGCCGGGCGACGGUUGUCCCGGUUUAAGCGUGUAGGUGUGUGUUCCAGGUAAAUCCGGUUCACUUUAACACUGAGGCGUGAUGACGAGGCACUACGGUGCUGAAGCAACAAAUGCCCUGCUUCCAGGAAAAGCCUCUAAGCAUCAGGUAACAUCAAAUCGUACCCCAAACCGACACAGGUGGUCAGGUAGAGAAUACCAAGGCGCUUGAGAGAACUCGGGUGAAGGAACUAGGCAAAAUGGUGCCGUAACUUCGGGAGAAGGCACGCUGACACGUAGGUGAAGUGAUUUACUCAUGGAGCUGAAGUCAGUCGAAGAUACCAGCUGGCUGCAACUGUUUAUUAAAAACACAGCACUGUGCAAACACGAAAGUGGACGUAUACGGUGUGACGCCUGCCCGGUGCCGGAAGGUUAAUUGAUGGGGUCAGCGCAAGCGAAGCUCCUGAUCGAAGCCCCGGUAAACGGCGGCCGUAACUAUAACGGUCCUAAGGUAGCGAAAUUCCUUGUCGGGUAAGUUCCGACCUGCACGAAUGGCGUAAUGAUGGCCAGGCUGUCUCCACCCGAGACUCAGUGAAAUUGAACUCGCUGUGAAGAUGCAGUGUACCCGCGGCAAGACGGAAAGACCCCGUGAACCUUUACUAUAGCUUGACACUGAACAUUGAGCCUUGAUGUGUAGGAUAGGUGGGAGGCUUUGAAGCGUGGACGCCAGUCUGCGUGGAGCCGACCUUGAAAUACCACCCUUUAAUGUUUGAUGUUCUAACGUGGACCCGUAAUCCGGGUUGCGGACAGUGUCUGGUGGGUAGUUUGACUGGGGCGGUCUCCUCCUAAAGAGUAACGGAGGAGCACGAAGGUUGGCUAAUCCUGGUCGGACAUCAGGAGGUUAGUGCAAUGGCAUAAGCCAGCUUGACUGCGAGCGUGACGGCGCGAGCAGGUGCGAAAGCAGGUCAUAGUGAUCCGGUGGUUCUGAAUGGAAGGGCCAUCGCUCAACGGAUAAAAGGUACUCCGGGGAUAACAGGCUGAUACCGCCCAAGAGUUCAUAUCGACGGCGGUGUUUGGCACCUCGAUGUCGGCUCAUCACAUCCUGGGGCUGAAGUAGGUCCCAAGGGUAUGGCUGUUCGCCAUUUAAAGUGGUACGCGAGCUGGGUUUAGAACGUCGUGAGACAGUUCGGUCCCUAUCUGCCGUGGGCGCUGGAGAACUGAGGGGGGCUGCUCCUAGUACGAGAGGACCGGAGUGGACGCAUCACUGGUGUUCGGGUUGUCAUGCCAAUGGCACUGCCCGGUAGCUAAAUGCGGAAGAGAUAAGUGCUGAAAGCAUCUAAGCACGAAACUUGCCCCGAGAUGAGUUCUCCCUGAGACUUAGAGUCUCCUGAAGGAACGUUGAAGACGACGACGUUGAUAGGCCGGGUGUGUAAGCGCAGCGAUGCGUUGAGCUAACCGGUACUAAUGAACCGUGAGGCUUAACCUUACAACGCCGAAG